UUCGGGUGCUCUAGAGUGCUAAAUUUAUCUUCAGACCAGCGACCGCGCCAGCCGCGAAUCGGAUCUCUAUGGAGAUGGCCUAGCGAUAUCCCUGAGCUGAGAGCAUCACCCUGUCCCCGAAUCCUUCUUUCCUCUCUGUUUUGUUUUUCAUUCCCCUCCCUCUCUCCCCUCCCCCUCCAGUCCACGACGACUGGCUGUUGACCCUGUUCAGGCCUCGGUGAAGGUGAGGAGCGGAGCCGCCGCCGCGGCUAAGCGGUGCGCUCUGAAAUGGCCGCUUCCUGGAACUGCCUAAGAUGGCGGUCGCGGGCUCUGCUGGGGACCGCGGCGCUGCUGUGCAGCCCAGCCGCGGCGAAAUCCGUUCUCUCCAUCGCUGAUGGAGAUGAAAUAGAGAGAUGGUGUUGGGUGCUGAGACGUUUUCAUGUGGUCGUUAGCGCAGGCGGCCGCCCGGGGACGCGAGAGAAGUCCUGAGGCGAGGGUGGGCUGCGACUGGCUUUUGGUUACUCCCCUUCCCACCCCAUCCCUUAAUUUUAUUCUUUUGAAGAGUGCAUUUCAAGCUGCCAAGGUGAAGAGAGGGAUUACAGAAAGGAGAACACCUUAUUUCAGCUUUUAUUUUUAUGUGAUAAUCUACCUUUAAGAAAAGGUGUACCAUACCUGAGAGCACCAGGAAGUCGCAUGAGAGAUCACCUGAUACAUGAACGUAUGAUGUUCCAUCUGCGCAUUGAUGAAUAGGCAGCAUUUACAAAUUAACUGAUGUGUUGCUGUAUAUCAUCUCUUUGAUGAUUGCUCCUCUUCUUUGUAUCCUGUCUUAUAAUUUCAACACAUUUGUGAUACUCAAUGUCUAUUCUAAAUUAACCAUGUUUUGUACCACAAACUCAUUGCCCAUGGAUCUGUUGCUGAAACAAGGA
RNAcentral lists this long non-coding RNA (905 nucleotides) under Pan troglodytes (chimpanzee). Its description in RNAcentral is "long non-coding RNA NONPTRT002970". The record is from RNAcentral. Lineage: Eukaryota; Metazoa; Chordata; Mammalia; Primates; Hominidae.